RNAcentral lists this ribosomal RNA (477 nucleotides) under uncultured bacterium. RNAcentral describes it as "bacterial SSU rRNA". It matches the Rfam family "Bacterial small subunit ribosomal RNA", at positions 365 to 832 of the family's 1533-position model. The record is from RNAcentral.
UUCGCAAUGCCCGAAAGGGUGACGAAGCGACGCCGCGUGCGGGAAGAAGGCCUUCGGGUCGUAAACCACUGUCGGGAGUUAAGAAAUGCAAGGAUAUUAAUAGUGUCUUUGUUUGACUAAGGCUCCGGAGGAAGCCACGGCUAACUCUGUGCCAGCAGCCGCGGUAAUACAGAGGCGGCAAGCGUUGUUCGGAAUUAUUGGGCGUAAAGAGCACGUAGGCGGCUGUGUAAGUCGGUUGUGAAAGCCUUCCGCUUAACGGAAGAACGGCAUCCGAUACUGCAUAGCUUGAGUGCGGGAGGGGAGAGUGGAACUUCUGGUGGAGCGGUGAAAUGCGUAGAUAUCAGAAGGAACACCGGCGGCGAAGGCGACUCUCUGGUCCGUAACUGACGCUGAGUGUGCGAAAGCUAGGGGAGCAAACGGGAUUAGAUACCCCGGUAGUCCUAGCCGUAAACGAUGGGCACUAAGUAGAGGGGUUUU